This 331-nucleotide ribosomal RNA is filed under the name uncultured eukaryote. RNAcentral describes it as "partial 18S ribosomal RNA". It matches the Rfam family "Eukaryotic small subunit ribosomal RNA", at positions 1470 to 1796 of the family's 1831-position model. The record is from RNAcentral.
CCCUUAGAUGUUCUGGGCCGCACGCGCGCUUCACUGUUCGACGCAGCGAGUCUUAACCUUGACCGAAAGGUUUGGGUAAUCUUCAGCAAAGUCGAACGUGAUGGGGAUCGAUCAUUGCAAUUAUUGAUCGUGAACGAGGAAUUCCUAGUAAGUGCAAGUCAUCAGCUUGCGCUGAUUACGUCCCUGCCCUUUGUACACACCGCCCGUCGCUACUACCGAUUGAAUGGUUUAGUGAGAUCUCUGGAUUGACGCUGGCUAGGGGGCGACCCUUGGCCAGACUGUUGAGAAACUGCUCAAACUUGAUCAUUUAGAGGAAGUAAAAGUCGUAACA